CCAAUAGCGUAUAUUAAAGUUGUUGCAGUUAAAAAGCUCGUAGUUGAAUUUCGGGAUUAGUACGUUGGUCGUGCCUUAGGUACGUACUGGUGUUACUGGUUCCUACCUUCUGACGAACCAUCAUGUCAUUAAUUUGGUGUGGCGGGGAAUCAGGACUGUUACUUUGAAAAAAUUAGAGUGUUUAAAGCAAGCUAACGCUUGAAUACAUUAGCAUGGAAUAAUGAAAUAGGACGUUCGAUCCUAUUUUGUUGGUUUCUAGGAUUGACGUAAUGAUUAAUAGGGAUAGUUGGGGGCAUUAGUAUUCAAUUGUCAGAGGUGAAAUUCUUGGAUUUAUUGAAGACUAACUACUGCGAAAGCAUUUGCCAAGGAUGUUUUCAUUAAUCAAGAACGAAAGUUAGGGGAUCGAAGACGAUCAGAUACCGUCGUAGUCUUAACCAUAAACUAUGCCGACUAGGAAUCAGACGAUGUUAAUUUUUUAAUGACUCGUUUGGCACCUUACG
Molecule: ribosomal RNA, 500 nt
Filed under: uncultured Glomeromycotina
Lineage: Eukaryota; Fungi; Glomeromycota
Description: SSU rRNA
Rfam family: Eukaryotic small subunit ribosomal RNA
Source: RNAcentral